This 313-nucleotide ribosomal RNA is filed under the name uncultured eukaryote. Its description in RNAcentral is "partial large subunit ribosomal RNA". It matches the Rfam family "Eukaryotic large subunit ribosomal RNA", at positions 40 to 350 of the family's 3401-position model. The record is from RNAcentral.
AUAUCAAUAAGCGGAGGAAAAGAAACCAACAGGGAUUGCCCCAGUAACGGCGAGUGAAGCGGCAACAGCUCAAAUUUGAAAUCUGACCCUUCGGGGUUCGAGUUGUAAUUUGUAGAGGAUGCUUUGGCGUUGGGCCCGUGCUAGGUUCCUUGGAACAGGACGUCAUAGAGGGUGAGAACCCCGUCUUUGCUCGGGAUUCCGUCGCCAUGUAAAGCUCCUUCGACGAGUCGAGUUGUUUGGGAAUGCAGCUCUAAGCGGGAGGUAAAUUUCUUCUAAAGCUAAAUAACGGCCAGAGACCGAUACCGCACAAGUA